This 484-nucleotide ribosomal RNA is filed under the name uncultured bacterium. RNAcentral's name for it is "partial 16S ribosomal RNA". It matches the Rfam family "Bacterial small subunit ribosomal RNA", at positions 29 to 507 of the family's 1533-position model. The record is from RNAcentral.
AUUGAACGCUGGCGGAAUGCUUUACACAUGCAAGUCGAGCGGCAGCGCGGCCUUCGGGCUGGCGGCGAGCGGCGAACGGGUGAGUAAUGCAUCGGAACAUGCCCAGUCGUGGGGGAUAACACUUCGAAAGAAGUGCUAAUACCGCAUACGUCCUGAGGGGGAAAGCGGGGGAUCGCAAGACCUCGCGCGAUGGGAGUGGCCGAUGUCAGAUUAGCUAGUUGGUGGGGUAAAGGCCUACCAAGGCGACGAUCUGUAGCUGGUCUGAGAGGAUGAUCAGCCACACUGGGACUGAGACACGGCCCAGACUCCUACGGGAGGCAGCAGUGGGGAAUUUUGGACAAUGGGGGCAACCCUGAUCCAGCCAUUCCGCGUGAGUGAAGAAGGCCUUCGGGUUGUAAAGCUCUUUCGGCAGGAACGAAACGGUGGGCUCUAACAUAGUCCGCUAAUGACGGUACCUGAAGAAGAAGCACCGGCUAACUACGUG